RNAcentral lists this ribosomal RNA (206 nucleotides) under uncultured bacterium. Its description in RNAcentral is "partial 16S ribosomal RNA". It matches the Rfam family "Bacterial small subunit ribosomal RNA", at positions 524 to 729 of the family's 1533-position model. The record is from RNAcentral.
UACGGAGGGUCCAAGCGUUAUCCGGAAUCAUUGGGUUUAAAGGGUCCGUAGGCGGUUUUGUAAGUCAGUGGUGAAAGCCCAUCGCUCAACGGUGGAACGGCCAUUGAUACUGCAAGACUUGAAUUAUUGGGAAGUAACUAGAAUAUGUAGUGUAGCGGUGAAAUGCUUAGAGAUUACAUGGAAUACCAAUUGCGAAGGCAGGUUAC